Long non-coding RNA from Bradysia coprophila, 185 nucleotides. Lineage: Eukaryota; Metazoa; Arthropoda; Insecta; Diptera; Sciaridae. The record is from RefSeq and is a predicted model, not a curated record.
CCGACUCGUGAGUUAGACCCCUUGCCUAUAAUGUGAACCAGGUACAGGGCGGGAAGGAGUUUUUGCUUGUAGGUCGGCCAAAUUUGAACGGAUUUCGACUACUUUUGCUUUAUUAGAUAGGUAUUGACCGUACCAAUCAGGGAAAAAAAAGGUUAUGAAAUUCGGUUUACCGGAGCGUGAGCUAG